CCUACGGGUGGCAGCAGUGGGGAAUAUUGGACAAUGGGGGCAACCCUGAUCCAGCCAUGCCGCGUGUGUGAAGAAGGCCCUCGGGUUGUAAAGCACUUUCAGUGAGGAAGAACGCCUGGUGGUUAAUACCCAUCAGGAAAGACAUCACUCACAGAAGAAGCACCGGCUAACUCCGUGCCAGCAGCCGCGGUAAUACGGAGGGUGCGAGCGUUAAUCGGAAUUACUGGGCGUAAAGCGCGCGUAGGUGGCUUGAUAAGCCGGUUGUGAAAGCCCCGGGCUCAACCUGGGAACGGCAUCCGGAACUGUCAAGCUAGAGUGCAGGAGAGGAAGGUAGAAUUCCCGGUGUAGCGGUGAAAUGCGUAGAGAUCGGGAGGAAUACCAGUGGCGAAGGCGGCCUUCUGGACUGACACUGACACUGAGGUGCGAAAGCGUGGGUAGCAAACAGGAUUAGAUACCCUGGUAGUA
Molecule: ribosomal RNA, 465 nt
Filed under: Vreelandella stevensii
Lineage: Bacteria; Pseudomonadati; Pseudomonadota; Gammaproteobacteria; Oceanospirillales; Halomonadaceae
Description: partial 16S ribosomal RNA
Rfam family: Bacterial small subunit ribosomal RNA
Source: RNAcentral